Non-coding RNA from Ictidomys tridecemlineatus (thirteen-lined ground squirrel), 69 nucleotides. Lineage: Eukaryota; Metazoa; Chordata; Mammalia; Rodentia; Sciuridae. The record is from Rfam.
GGGGUUGUGGCUCAGUGGUAGAGCACUUGCCUUGCAUGUGUGGGGAACUGGGUUCGAUCCUCAGCACCA